AUGAUCUUGAUCUAUUGAGUUGCAACAAUUUUAAAGCUUCCGUCUUCCUUUUGUUAUACAGGUGAAUAGUAUAUGUUUUAUCAUUAGAAUGAAAUUGAUGUCGAUUUAAGGAAAACAGAAUGAAGAAUUCCUAUGUCCACCAAAAGACUGGAUCACAAGGCAGUCUAACAACAGCGUUACUUGUAUCAAAUGUAUCCCUUAUGAAGAACCUACUACAAACAGGAACAUGUGGAGAUAACGAUAAGUGUAUAGCUGGAGUAACUUUGUUGUGUGUGUCUAUUUUAUUACAAGUAGCAGCUGGAAUUAUGCUUGUUAUAUUGGCACCUAGAGAACAGAAAAGUUCAAAUUUGAAAAAGAAAGAUAGGCAAUCUUACGCCUUGGAAACAGAAGAUAUAAUACAAGAAAAGGCCAAUAUUAGAAAAUCGAGAAAAAUUCUGAAUGACCGAAUCAACACAACAGUUCUGGUACUGACAUUCCUUAUUGCAGUGAUAAAUAUUGUUAUAAACGGAAUUGGUAUUUAGAUUCAAGUUGAAGUGUAUUUUAAAAUUACUGUUGAACAUAUUUAGUUAAUUUUUUAGCACUUACUGUAGCUUUUGAUAGUAAAUAUAUUUGUAAAUGUA
This is a long non-coding RNA of Mytilus trossulus (common blue mussel), 620 nucleotides long. RefSeq lists it as uncharacterized. Lineage: Eukaryota; Metazoa; Mollusca; Bivalvia; Mytilida; Mytilidae. The transcript is spliced from 2 exons. The record is from RefSeq and is a predicted model, not a curated record.